CCCUUAGAUGUCCUGGGCCGCACGCGUGCUACACUGACGCCUACAGCGAGUACUUCCCAGCCCCGAGAGGUGGCUGGUAAUCAGCAAUAGGCGUCGUGAUGGGGAUAGAUCUUUGGAAUUAUGGAUCUUGAACGAGGAAUGCCUAGUAAGCGCAGGUCAUUAGCCUGCGCUGAUUAAGUCCCUGCCCUUUGUACACACCGCCCGUCGCUCCUACCGAUUUCGAGUGGUCCGGUGAAUCUUUCGGACUGCGCGCGGCCUCGUGCCGUGUCGCGGAAAGUCAGGUAAACCUUAUCACUUAGAGGAAGGUGAAGUCGUANCA
RNAcentral lists this ribosomal RNA (319 nucleotides) under uncultured eukaryote. RNAcentral's name for it is "partial 18S ribosomal RNA". It matches the Rfam family "Eukaryotic small subunit ribosomal RNA", at positions 1470 to 1796 of the family's 1831-position model. The record is from RNAcentral.